AUACGGAGGGUGCAAGCGUUACUCGGAAUUACUGGGCGUAAAGCGCGCGUAGGCGGUUUUGUAAGUCGGAUGUGCAAGCCCAGGGCUCAACCUUGGAAUUGCAUUCGAAACUGCAUAACUAGAGUAUGGUAGAGGUAAGUGGAAUUCCAGGUGUAGCGGUGAAAUGCGUAGAUAUCUGGAGGAACAUCAGUGGCGAAGGCGACUUACUGGACCAAUACUGACGCUGAGGUGCGAAAGCGUGGGGAGCAAACAGGAUUAGAAACCCCGGUAGUCC
Molecule: ribosomal RNA, 274 nt
Filed under: uncultured bacterium
Lineage: Bacteria
Description: partial 16S ribosomal RNA
Rfam family: Bacterial small subunit ribosomal RNA
Source: RNAcentral